GAUGAACGCUGGCGGCGUGCCUAAUACAUGCAAGUCGAGCGAACAGAUGAGGAGCUUGCUCCUCUGACGUUAGCGGCGGACGGGUGAGUAACACGUGGAUAACCUACCUAUAAGACUGGGAUAUCUUCGGGAAACCGGAGCUAAUACCGGAUAAUAUAUUGAACCGCAUGGUUCAAUAGUGAAAGACGGUUUUGCUGUCACUUAUAGAUGGAUCCGCGCCGCAUUAGCUAGUUGGUAAGGUAACGGCUUACCAAGGCAACGAUGCGUAGCCGACCUGAGAGGGUGAUCGGCCACACUGGAACUGAGACACGGUCCAGACUCCUACGGGAGGCAGCAGUAGGGAAUCUUCCGCAAAGGGCGAAAGCCUGACGGAGCAACGCCGCGUGAGUGAUGAAGGUCUUCGGAUCGUAAAACUCUGUUAUUAGGGAAGAACAAAUGUGUAAGUAACUAUGCACGUCUUGACGGUACCUAAUCAGAAAGCCACGGCUAACUACGUG
This 497-nucleotide ribosomal RNA is filed under the name uncultured bacterium. Its description in RNAcentral is "partial 16S ribosomal RNA". It matches the Rfam family "Bacterial small subunit ribosomal RNA", at positions 28 to 507 of the family's 1533-position model. The record is from RNAcentral.